This 301-nucleotide ribosomal RNA is filed under the name uncultured bacterium. RNAcentral describes it as "partial 16S ribosomal RNA". It matches the Rfam family "Bacterial small subunit ribosomal RNA", at positions 509 to 807 of the family's 1533-position model. The record is from RNAcentral.
CAGUCGCCACGGUAAUACGGAGGGUGCAAGCGUUAAUCGGAAUUACUGGGCGUAAAGCGCACGCAGGCGGUCUGUCAAGUCUGAUGUGAAAUCCCCGGGCUUAACCUGGGAACUGCAUUUGAAACUGGCAGGCUAGAGUCUUGUAGAGGGGGGUAGAAUUCCAGGUGUAGCGGUGAAAUGCGUAGAGAUCUGGAGGAAUACCGGUGGCGAAGGCGGCCCCCUGGACAAAGACUGACGCUCAGGUGCGAAAGCGUGGGGAGCAAACAAGAUUAGAUACCCCGGUAGUCCCUGUCUCUUAUAC